UGCAGUCGAGCGGAGAGAGGUAGCUUGCUACUGAUCUUAGCGGCGGACGGGUGAGUAAUGCUUAGGAAUCUGCCUAUUAGUGGGGGACAACAUUUCGAAAGGAAUGCUAAUACCGCAUACGUCCUACGGGAGAAAGCAGGGGAUCUUCGGACCUUGCGCUAAUAGAUGAGCCUAAGUCGGAUUAGCUAGUUGGUGGGGUAAAGGCCUACCAAGGCGACGAUCUGUAGCGGGUCUGAGAGGAUGAUCCGCCACACUGGGACUGAGACACGGCCCAGACUCCUACGGGAGGCAGCAGUGGGGAAUAUUGGACAAUGGGCGGAAGCCUGAUCCAGCCAUGCCGCGUGUGUGAAGAAGGCCUUAUGGUUGUAAAGCACUUUAAGCGAGGAGGAGGCUACUUUAGUUAAUACCUAGAGAUAGUGGACGUUACUCGCAGAAUAAGCACCGGCUAACUCUGUGCCAGCAGCCGCGGUAAUACAGAGGGUGCAAGCGUUAAUCGGAUUUACUGGGCGUAAAGCGCGCGUAGGCGGCUAAUUAAGUCAAAUGUGAAAUCCCCGAGCUUAACUUGGGAAUGCAUUCGAUACUGGUUAGCUAGAGUGUGGGAGAGGAUGGUAGAAUUCCAGGUGUAGCGGUGAAAUGCGUAGAGAUCUGGAGGAAUACCGAUGGCGAAGGCAGCCAUCUGGCCUAACACUGACGCUGAGGUGCGAAAGCAUGGCGAGCAAACAGGAUUAGAUACCCUGGUAGUCCAUGCCGUAAACGAUGUCUACUAGCCGUUGGGGCCUUUGAGGCUUUAGUGGCGCAGCUAACGCGAUAAGUAGACCGCCUGGGGAGUACGGUCGCAAGACUAAAACUCAAAUGAAUUGACGGGGGCCCGCACAAGCGGUGGAGCAUGUGGUUUAAUUCGAUGCAACGCGAAGAACCUUACCUGGCCUUGACAUAGUAAGAACUUUCCAGAGAUGGAUUGGUGCCUUCGGGAACUUACAUACAGGU
RNAcentral lists this ribosomal RNA (987 nucleotides) under Acinetobacter sp. RNAcentral describes it as "bacterial SSU rRNA". It matches the Rfam family "Bacterial small subunit ribosomal RNA", at positions 56 to 1039 of the family's 1533-position model. Lineage: Bacteria; Pseudomonadati; Pseudomonadota; Gammaproteobacteria; Moraxellales; Moraxellaceae. The record is from RNAcentral.